CUGAGUCAAAUUUGAUCACAUGGUAUUUAUUGAAUUUAAUUAAAAUCAUUAAAAUUCCAAUAUUUUUUGCGAGCACACAUAUUUUUCAGCUAUUAAGUUAUAAAAGUGUAAGAAAUAUUUGGCAGCACUUCUAAUAAAAUUCGAUUGAAAUUAUUGCUAACUUAAAUUUUUUUAACUAAAUGAUUUUUUUAAGCACUAUAAAAUUUUAAUUAAUAAUAAUAAAUAUUAUAUUUAAAAAACUGUGGUAAAACAUCUUUACUCAUAUUCACAUGUGUUUACCACUUGUCUUUUAAGUCACAAAGACGUGUUUUUCAUUGCAUAAAAGUUAUUUUAAUAAUCAAAUUAUAUCCACAAUUAUUUGAAACAACAGCGGUGCUUCACAAAAUAUUACUUUUGAUCUUUAAACAAAAGACAAACAAAUUAAAAAAAUUAAAACAAUAUCAAUUAAAAAAUAGACGUUUAAGCAUACAACGUGGGACUCAAAAUACUUAAAUAAAUGUUGACGGUAUAAGAAUUUCUACAACUCUUCAGGAUUGGAUCAUUAUCAAAGCUAAAAGAAUCCAAAACAUCAAGUGUUGCUUAAUUUUUUCUCUGCUCAGAACACAGCCAAUAGUUAGCGCUCUAACUCAUACGUAUACAAACAUCUGUAGGCACACCGGGCAUAUGACCAACAACCGAGAAACGCUUGACCAGCGUCGAGUUCAAAGAUCAAUUAUGACAAUUAAAGUAUUUUUAUCGUUGGAAAUAUGUUCAAUGCGAGACGAUCUUCUUUUUGGACAAAAUGUUUAUUUAUGUGUGAACAAAAAAGUGGAAAAAAACUAUGAUGCAAUGUUACAAAAACUGAUCAAAAAAUGAAACAAUAAUUGUCUAUAAUUAAAUAAAAACAAAUUAAAAAAUUCUCCACAAACAAUUUAUUGGUAUACUACAUUUUAAUGAAUAAAUAAUGCAUAUUUAAUAUCGAUACGAACUUAAUUGAUAAAAUAAAUAAAAAUCUGAAAUUUUAAACACAUAA
Molecule: long non-coding RNA, 1012 nt
Organism: Bactrocera oleae (olive fruit fly)
Lineage: Eukaryota; Metazoa; Arthropoda; Insecta; Diptera; Tephritidae
Source: RefSeq, a predicted model, not a curated record